AUUGAACGCUGGCGGCAUGCCUUACACAUGCAAGUCGAACGGCAGCAUGAUCUAGCUUGCUAGAUUGAUGGCGAGUGGCGCACGGGUGAGUAAUACAUCGGAACGUGCCCUGUAGUGGGGGAUAACUAGUCGAAAGAUUAGCUAAUACCGCAUACGACCUGAGGGUGAAAGUGGGGGACCGCAAGGCCUCAUGCUAUAGGAGCGGCCGAUGUCUGAUUAGCUAGUUGGUGGGGUAAAGGCCCACCAAGGCGACGAUCAGUAGCUGGUCUGAGAGGACGAUCAGCCACACUGGGACUGAGACACGGCCCAGACUCCUACGGGAGGCAGCAGUGGGGAAUUUUGGACAAUGGGGGCAACCCUGAUCCAGCAAUGCCGCGUGUGUGAAGAAGGCCUUCGGGUUGUAAAGCACUUUUGUCCGGAAAGAAAUCGCACUUACUAAUAUUAGGUGUGGAUGACGGUACCGGAAGAAUAAGGACCGGCUAACUACGUG
Molecule: ribosomal RNA, 490 nt
Filed under: uncultured bacterium
Lineage: Bacteria
Description: partial 16S ribosomal RNA
Rfam family: Bacterial small subunit ribosomal RNA
Source: RNAcentral